UUUGGACGUACAGCUGUUCCAGAGCCGUAUCCACCGGAAAUUUUAGAAAGCGAUUUCUUUGAAGAACUUACUUCCUCGUCCUGCUACAAUCAAAGCAAGGUCAGUCCAGCAAAACAAAGAUCAAAGAAAAAGACUUACACGAGAAGUUUCAGGUGAAAGACAUCGUUGGAUCGUUUAGAUGGGCUCCAUUCCUCCCGGUGCAAAAAUCCGACACUCUUCUCACAGUGCUACUGCUGCUGUCGAAUUAUCACAUGAAAAGCCUCCCGGUUGUGGAAUCUGGACGAGCAGAGAUACAAGGUCUCAUCACGCAAUCAGCAGUAGUUCAUGUUCUCUCGCAGUGCAUUGGCAUACCUUGGUUCGACAGCCUCGGUAAGCUGUCGUUAGCACAGCUUGGCCUCCCAUCGACAACAUCAGCCAAAAUGUUGAAGGCAUGCC
This 435-nucleotide long non-coding RNA is filed under the name Selaginella moellendorffii. RNAcentral describes it as "long non-coding RNA (SMOE_LNC000764)". The record is from RNAcentral. Lineage: Eukaryota; Viridiplantae; Streptophyta; Lycopodiopsida; Selaginellales; Selaginellaceae.